AUGAACGCUGGCGGCGUGCCUAAUACAUGCAAGUCGAGCGAACAGACGAGGAGCUUGCUCCUCUGACGUUAGCGGCGGACGGGUGAGUAACACGUGGAUAACCUACCUAUAAGACUGGGAUAACUUCGGGAAACCGGAGCUAAUACCGGAUAAUAUAUUGAACCGCAUGGUUCAAUAGUUAAAGACGGUUUUGCUGUCACUUAUAGAUGGAUCCGCGCCGCAUUAGCUAGUUGGUAAGGUAACGGCUUACCAAGGCGACGAUGCGUAGCCGACCUGAGAGGGUGAACGGCCACACUGGAACUGAGACACGGUCCAGACUCCUACGGGAGGCAGCAGUAGGGAAUCUUCCGCAAUGGGCGAAAGCCUGACAGAGCAACGCCGCGCGAGUGAUGAAGGUCUUCGGAUCGUAAAACUCUGUUAUUAGGGAAGAACAAAUGUGUAAGUAACUAUGCACGUCUUGACGGUACCUAAUCAGAAAGCCACGGCUAACUACGUG
Molecule: ribosomal RNA, 496 nt
Filed under: uncultured bacterium
Lineage: Bacteria
Description: partial 16S ribosomal RNA
Rfam family: Bacterial small subunit ribosomal RNA
Source: RNAcentral